UCCGCGGUGAAUGCGUCCCUUCUCCUCGCAUACUCGGCACGCACACUGGAGGGUCUGUGAGUGUGGGAUGGGCG
RNAcentral lists this ribosomal RNA (74 nucleotides) under Palpitomonas bilix. RNAcentral describes it as "partial Archaeal small subunit ribosomal RNA". The record is from RNAcentral.